GAUAAACGUUGGCGGCGUGCCUAAUGCAUGCAAGUCGCACGAGGGCUUCGGCCCUAGUGGCGGACGGGUGAGUAACACGUACGAAUCUGCCCGGAGGUGGGGGACAACUUCCCGAAAGGGAAGCUAAUACCGCAUACGGUCUACGGACCAAAGCCGAAAGGCGCCACCGGAGGAGCGUGCGGCGGAUUAGCUAGUUGGUGGGGUAACGGCCUACCAAGGCGACGAUCCGUAGCUGGUCUGAGAGGAUGGUCAGCCACACUGGGACUGAGAUACGGCCCAGACUCCUACGGGAGGCAGCAGCAAGGAAUUUUGCACAAUCGACGCAAGUCGGAUGCAGCAACGCCGCGUGGGGGAUGGAGGCUCUCGGGUUGUAAACCCCUUUUGCGAGGGAAGAAGAUCUGACGGUACCUCGCGAAUAAGUCACGGCUAACUACGUGCCAGCCGCCGCCGUUAA
Molecule: ribosomal RNA, 454 nt
Filed under: uncultured bacterium
Lineage: Bacteria
Description: partial 16S ribosomal RNA
Rfam family: Bacterial small subunit ribosomal RNA
Source: RNAcentral